CACAGCCCCCAAGCAUGUGACAUGGGCAAGAAACACACUUCGACUGUCUCUGUACACUGACAUUCACUGACAUUUGUCAGUUAUCUAUUAAUAUGGAAAAUAAUUCCUGUAGAACAUUGAUCACAGGCUGUUUGUGCGAUGAGCUAUCAAUCUAUGUAUCUACGUGUAUUUCUCUUACUGGACUGUAGAUGACUUCCUUCUUGUCCUUUCUCCUCAUUCUCCUCUCCUUCAGGAUCUUUUCUGGCUACUUCAAGUUUUAUUACUGUCAUUACCUUUAACUUUUAUUUCAUUCACAUGAACAUCCUCUGUGGCUUUAGAGUAGAGAUGGGUGCCGAGAUAUAUAUCUACUUUGUUACUCUUUAUCCUUGGUGCACUUUUAAACAACAUAUUCAGAUGCUGUAAGGAAUUUUUUCUUUUGGCCCAAACCCCUUUCUGAAGUCCUUUAUCAGUGUGAAAAUAUGGAAUUCUUCUCUCCUAAAAAUGAUAUACCUGGCUAUCACUGAGUAUAUCAUGCACCGUCUCCCUAGUCACUACUUCAUUGAUGCUCAAAUGCCCCUUAUUUAAUCACGAUCUUUUAUUGUUGUUACUUGUUUUUACAGGCAUCAUCCUGCCAGGGCCAGAUCAGAAAAGAAGGGUAAAGGGGAUUGUGACUUUAGGCAAGGGCUCAGCAAGCUAUGGUGCUGGUCCCAAGCCAGCCCACCAUCUGGAUUUGUGCAUAUUGUUUCAUUGAACACAGCCGUGCUCAUUCCCUUAAGGACUGUUUACGGCUGCUUUUGCAUUAUACUGGCAGAGCUGAGGAGCGGCAACAGAGAACCUGUUAUCUGGCCCUUUAUAGACAGAGUUGCUGACCCCUGCUUUAGACUGUUCCUAAGGGCAAGGGCAGCACUGUAUUCACGGUUGCAUCCUUGAUAGAAAUCCAAUCAACAUCAGUCAAAUUGAGAAGUAAAAUUCAAUUUCUGAUCAUCCCUCCAAAGGCAGUGCCUUACAAGCUAGAGAGAGAUGCAUCCAUGCUGGUUCCCAGGAGGAGAAUCAUUAGGAAUAAUUAUACUAAUUAUAUGCCUCCACAAGGGACCCCAGGGAACAGAAUCCAGUGGGACAGGAGGUUUCAAGGAACUAAUCUGGACGCCAUCUGAUAGCUCUGCCCUGACCACUUGUGAGAGGAACAGACCACGAACAGAAAAACAGGUCUCCAGUAUGCAGAACUACAUUGACAUGGAGCAUGGUGGCUGUAUCCAAGUCUAAAAC
This is a long non-coding RNA of Manis pentadactyla (Chinese pangolin), 1245 nucleotides long. RefSeq lists it as uncharacterized. The transcript has 3 exons. Lineage: Eukaryota; Metazoa; Chordata; Mammalia; Pholidota; Manidae. The record is from RefSeq and is a predicted model, not a curated record.